RNAcentral lists this ribosomal RNA (492 nucleotides) under uncultured bacterium. RNAcentral describes it as "partial 16S ribosomal RNA". It matches the Rfam family "Bacterial small subunit ribosomal RNA", at positions 29 to 507 of the family's 1533-position model. The record is from RNAcentral.
AGUGAACGCUGGCGGUAGGCCUAACACAUGCAAGUCGAACGGCAGCACAGUAAGAGCUUGCUCUUACGGGUGGCGAGUGGCGGAAGGGUGAGGAAUACAUCGGAAUCUACUUUUUCGUGGGGGAUAACGUAGGGAAACUUACGCUAAUACCGCAUACGACCUACGGGUGAAAGCAGGGGAUCUUCGGACCUUGCGCGAUUGAAUGAGCCGAUGUCGGAUUAGCUAGUUGGCGGGGUAAAGGCCCACCAAGGCGACGAUCCGUAGCUGGUCUGAGAGGAUGAUCAGCCACACUGGAACUGAGACACGGUCCAGACUCCUACGGGAGGCAGCAGUGGGGAAUAUUGGACAAUGGGCGCAAGCCUGAUCCAGCCAUGCCGCGUGGGUGAAGAAGGCCUUCGGGUUGUAAAGCCCUUUUGUUGGGAAAGAAAAGCAGCAGGUUAAUACCCCGCUGUUCUGACGGUACCCAAAGAAUAAGCACCGGCUAACUUCGUG